Brassica napus (rape) is the source of this 1765-nucleotide long non-coding RNA. RefSeq lists it as uncharacterized. The record is from RefSeq and is a predicted model, not a curated record. The transcript is spliced from 3 exons. NCBI's taxonomy places the organism in Eukaryota, Viridiplantae, Streptophyta, Magnoliopsida, Brassicales, Brassicaceae.
UUUUGUUAUAUAGAAUUUAAUAUAUAUAUAUAUAUAUUAAAUAAAAAGAUAUUAUAAGAUUAGUUUUUGUUGGGAUAUUAUAAAAUACACACAUUUAAUACUUUUUAAGAGAUGAUCCAAUUUAAAAAUUUACACAUUAAAAAAAUCUUGUGUUUCUUUUGUAGUGAGAAUGGCAACCACAUGAAUGUUGGGAAAGGAUGUUGAAAAAAUCUUAUCACUCAAAAUAACUUUUUUUUUGAACUUAAUUUCAUAUUUAAAUUGCAUGAGAAAGAAAAAUACACAGCCCAAAAGCACAGUUUUAGAGCAUAGCCCAGUUAUUUGUUCAUAUCACAGAUCCUAAAUCCCAUCUAGAGAAAGGCCCAAAGCCCAGGAUGAAGAAAUACAGUGAAUUGAGAGGAAAACGGAAAGUUCUUCUGUUGAAGCGACGGUGAUUACGAAGACGGUCGAUAGAACCUUAAACAAGCCAUUGCUGCAUCAUCCUUGAAGAAGAGGAGCGAGGGUUCCUCUCUCUGUAACUCAGAAUACGGUCCCUUAUCUGGCGAUCAAUCAGCCUUAAUAACCCAUCAGUCGAGCGGAAAGUAUUGCGAUGAAGUCUGCUGUUGCGCUCUUGCCAAGUCCAGUAAAUACAGCUUUGCCAGGAAUCAGAUCACAUCGGCGACCUAAGCGAGACCACAAGUUCCAUGAAUAAGGACAUAAGAAGAAAAGGUGAUCUCGGGACUCUGCAGCGGAGUUACAGAGCAAACAAGAAGGUGCCGUUUGUAAUCCCCAUCUUAAUAACCUAUCUCGCGUUGGACAUCGGUCGACGAUGAAGAGCCAGCAGAGAAAACGAAUGCUUCGCUAUGCCACUUGCAAUCCACACAAUGUUUUCCCAGGGUAGUGAGAAACACAUGGAGCUGCAGCUGUUUAUCAGAGCGAGGGUUAGGUAGUAAGCAGUGCUUGUCCCUGUAGAGUGAGGAUACCGUUGCAUCAUCUUGAAUUCCAAGUGAGAAGUUAGAAUCAUUCUCUAGAAAGCUUUGCAGGCAUCCAAAGGGUGACCAAUUGUCUGUCCAAAACCUCGUUGAGGUACCACUCCUGAUCCGCAACUUGAUCCAAUGAAAAAUUUCACCUCUCAGUUUGAGUAACUUAUUCACUAAUCACUCAAAAUAACUUCUAAGGAAAAAUAUGAUCUACUGAGUUAAGUCUAGGUACUGGUUAAGCAUUCAUUUACCAAGGAAUAAAGAUAUCCAACCUGUUUAUGGCAACACAAAAGUCAACAUUUACAAACCAAGGUGGCAUAAACCACCUGAGCAAUGGUUAGAAUGCAAUGUGGAGGGGUCAUUCACGGAUGUGAGAAAACGAAGUCGAGGAGAAUGGGUAAUGCGAGACUGCAGAGGUACGUAUAUAAAAGCAGGUCAAGGCCAAGGACGAAAGAUUAAUAGUGCUUUAAAGAGUGAGUUACAAGUUCUACUAAUGGCGUUGCAACAUUGUUGGAGUGGAGGCUGCAAGAAAGUAAUAUUUGAAGGAGAUAGUAAGAAAGCUAUCCGCAUUAUUUACAACCAAUCCUUACAUUUCGAUGCAUACAAUUGGAUCAGAGAGAUCAACUGGUGGAGACAAAAUUUUAGAGAGUUUGAUUUACUUAGAUGGGACGUGAAGGUGGCGGACGCAAUGUUCAUAAUCAAGACCCUUUUGUAUUUCAUUUCUAUAUACCAAGGUGUAUAACUAAUUUUCUCCAUCAUGACAAUCUAUAUUCACAAAAUUGAUUAAUAUGAAAUGAAGUUAUAAGAAA